Molecule: ribosomal RNA, 275 nt
Rfam family: Bacterial small subunit ribosomal RNA
CCUACGGGUGGCUGCAGUAAGGAAUAUUGGUCAAUGGGCGCAAGCCUGAACCAGCCAUGCCGCGUGCAGGAAGACGGCCCUCCGGGUUGUAAACUGCUUUUGUACGGGAAUAAACCUCGCUACGUGUAGCGAGCUGAAUGUACCGUAAGAAUAAGGAUCGGCUAACUCCGUGCCAGCAGCCGCGGUAAUACGGAGGAUCCAAGCGUUAUCCGGAUUUAUUGGGUUUAAAGGGUGCGUAGGCGGCCUGUUAAGUCAGGGGUGAAAGACGGUGGCUC